This 281-nucleotide long non-coding RNA is filed under the name Homo sapiens (human). Its description in RNAcentral is "LNC_000493". The record is from RNAcentral. Lineage: Eukaryota; Metazoa; Chordata; Mammalia; Primates; Hominidae.
CUUUCUCUCCCUCCCUUUCUUUUCUUUUCUUUCUUUCUUUCCUUUCCUUCUUUCUUUCUUUCUUUCUUUCCUUCCUUCCUUCCUUCCUUCCUUCUUUCUUUUUCUUUCUUUCUUUCUUUCUCUUUUUUUCUUUCUUUUCUUCUCCUUCCCUCCCUCCCAAAGUGCUAGGAUUCCAGGUGUGAGCCCCACACUGGCCCUUCAGGUAUGUUUCAUAAAACCCAUGCCAAGGUGGCAAGAUGUGCAUUCAUAAGAGGCUCUUAGUUGCCUCUUGUUGAGGUGUG